AGAAGCAGGGAGCUCUGUUUGCAUCAAGUCAGAUAAAAGGUUUUAACGGCAAUGAAGCACUGGACUUUUCAGAUUUAUCAGAUGUUUCUCUUGAGAUAGUUGUUUCAUUUCCCAGAGGAGCUGCCCUCAGAUUCCAUCCUGGAUACUUCAAAGUCUAUUUUGCCUCAUCAGUGAGGAGUUCACAUCACUUUGUGAUCAAGGGCAGGGUCUUCCUUCUCACUGACCCAGGUAUCAUCGAGGAGGUGGAAAGUGUGCAAGAGCAGAGCUACACGGAAACUGUUCUUCAGACACCUCAGCAACAUAGGAGCUCAAGUUGAUCGCGACAGGAUGCACAAGGUCCGUGUAAGCUCCAAGCAGACAAAAUCCCAACAUGAAGAGACACCCUAUCCUCAAGACUUCAACCAAGGGAUAAAAUUUGAUGAGUGGCACUGAGGAUGUAAAAGGGGCUGACCGUCAAAGCCAACGACGCUGACUAGAAGGCUGGCAAUUGUGGCUUCCUCGUUUCCUCCUGCUUCCUGCUCAAUUUCACCUCAUCUGUAGUCCAUACCUGAUGGUUUCAUUUAAAACAGCCAUCCAGCCUCGACCUUGGCCCCUUCACAAAAUCGAGUAUGAUUUAUUUUCAUCUGCAGCAGAUGCUCCCCCCCACCCCCCGAUACACUGAAUAUUCUGUCUGUCACCCAACCAGAAUGUCAAUGUCUCAGCCUCUUCCUGUAGGCUCCAUUAAUGUAUUUGUGACACCGAGACUAAUGCUCUCAAUGAGAGAACUGUUUAAUAAAUAUUUUAGCGAAUG
This is a non-coding RNA of Mus caroli (Ryukyu mouse), 790 nucleotides long. The record is from RefSeq and is a predicted model, not a curated record. Lineage: Eukaryota; Metazoa; Chordata; Mammalia; Rodentia; Muridae.